GAUGAACGCUGGCGGCGUGCUUAACACGUGCAAGUCGAACGAAGCAUUUAAGACAGAUUACUUCGGUUUGAAGUCUUUUAUGACUGAGUGGCGGACGGGUGAGUAACGCGUGGGUAACCUGCCUCAUACAGGGGGAUAGCAGCUGGAAACGGCUGGUAAUACCGCAUAAGCGCACAGUACCACAUGGUACAGUGUGAAAAACUCCGGUGGUAUGAGAUGGACCCGCGUCUGAUUAGCUUGUUGGCGGGGUAACGGCCCACCAAGGCGACGAUCAGUAGCCGACCUGAGAGGGUGACCGGCCACAUUGGGACUGAGACACGGCCCAGACUCCUACGGGAGGCAGCAGUGGGGAAUAUUGCACAAUGGAGGAAACUCUGAUGCAGCGACGCCGCGUGAGUGAAGAAGUAGUUCGCUAUGUAAAGCUCUAUCAGCAGGGAAGAUAGUGACGGUACCUGACUAAGAAGCUCCGGCUAAAUACGUG
This 481-nucleotide ribosomal RNA is filed under the name uncultured bacterium. RNAcentral describes it as "partial 16S ribosomal RNA". It matches the Rfam family "Bacterial small subunit ribosomal RNA", at positions 28 to 507 of the family's 1533-position model. The record is from RNAcentral.